CAGUAGCCGCGGUAAUACGUAGGGUGCGAGCGUUAAUCGGAAUUACUGGGCGUAAAGCGGGCGCAGACGGUUACUUAAGCAGGAUGUGAAAUCCCCGGGCUCAACCUGGGAACUGCGUUCUGAACUGGGUGACUAGAGUGUGUCAGAGGGAGGUAGAAUUCCACGUGUAGCAGUGAAAUGCGUAGAGAUGUGGAGGAAUACCGAUGGCGAAGGCAGCCUCCUGGGAUAACACUGACGUUCAUGCCCGAAAGCGUGGGUAGCAAACAGGAUUAGAUACCCGAGUAGUCCCUGUCUCUUAUAC
This 301-nucleotide ribosomal RNA is filed under the name uncultured bacterium. Its description in RNAcentral is "partial 16S ribosomal RNA". It matches the Rfam family "Bacterial small subunit ribosomal RNA", at positions 509 to 807 of the family's 1533-position model. The record is from RNAcentral.